GAUCAUGGCUCAGGAUGAACGCUGGCGGCGCGCCUAACACAUGCAAGUCGAACGGCACCCAUCCUCGGGUGGAAGCGAGUGGCGAACGGCUGAGUAACACGUGGAGAACCUGCCCCCCUCCCCCGGGAUAGCCGCCCGAAAGGACGGGUAAUACCGGAUACCCCGGGGUGCCGCAUGGCACCCCGGCUAAAGCCCCGACGGGAGGGGAUGGCUCCGCGGCCCAUCAGGUAGACGGCGGGGUGACGGCCCACCGUGCCGACAACGGGUAGCCGGGUUG
Molecule: ribosomal RNA, 277 nt
Filed under: uncultured bacterium
Lineage: Bacteria
Description: partial 16S ribosomal RNA
Rfam family: Bacterial small subunit ribosomal RNA
Source: RNAcentral